This 1191-nucleotide ribosomal RNA is filed under the name Alcaligenes faecalis. Its description in RNAcentral is "bacterial SSU rRNA". It matches the Rfam family "Bacterial small subunit ribosomal RNA", at positions 256 to 1452 of the family's 1533-position model. The record is from RNAcentral. Lineage: Bacteria; Pseudomonadati; Pseudomonadota; Betaproteobacteria; Burkholderiales; Alcaligenaceae.
GGUAAAGCUCACCAAGGCAACGAUCCGUAGCUGGUUUAGGGACGACCAGCCACACUGGGACUGAGACACGGCCCAGAUUCUACGGGAGCAGCAGUGGGAAUUUGGACAAUGGGGGAAACCCUGAUCCAGCCAUCCCGCGUGUAUGAUGAAGGCCUUCGGGUUGUAAAGUACUUUUGGCAGAGAAGAAAAGGUAUCCCCUAAUACGGGAUACUGCUGACGGUAUCUGCAGAAUAAGCACCGGCUAACUACGUGCCAGCAGCCGCGGUAAUACGUAGGGUGCAAGCGUUAAUCGGAAUUACUGGGCGUAUAGCGUGUGUAGGCGGUUCGGAAAGAAAGAUGUGAAAUCCCAGGGCUCAACCUUGGAACUGCAUUUUUAACUGCCGAGCUAGAGUAUGUCAGAGGGGGGUAGAAUUCCACGUGUAGCAGUGAAAUGCGUAGAUAUGUGGAGGAAUACCGAUGGCGAAGGCAGCCCCCUGGGAUAAUACUGACGCUCAGACACGAAAGCGUGGGGAGCAAACAGGAUUAGAUACCCUGGUAGUCCACGCCCUAAACGAUGUCAACUAGCUGUUGGGGCCGUUAGGCCUUAGUAGCGCAGCUAACGCGUGAAGUUGACCGCCUGGGGAGUACGGUCGCAAGAUUAAAACUCAAAGGAAUUGACGGGGACCCGCACCAGCGGUGGAUGAUGUGGAUUAAUUCGAUGCAACGCGAAAAACCUUACCUACCCUUGACAUGUCUGGAAAGCCGAAGAGAUUUGGCCGUGCUCGCAAGAGAACCGGAACACAGGUGCUGCAUGGCCGUCGUCAGCUCGUGUCGUGAGAUGUUGGGUUAAGUCCCGCAACGAGCGCAACCCUUGUCAUUAGUUGCUACGCAAGAGCACUCUAAUGAGACUGCCGGUGACAAACCGGAGGAAGGUGGGGAUGACGUCAAGUCCUCAUGGCCCUUAUGGGUAGGGCUUCACACGUCAUACAAUGGUCGGGACAGAGGGUCGCCAACCCGCGAGGGGGAGCCAAUCUCAGAAACCCGAUCGUAGUCCGGAUCGCAGUCUGCAACUCGACUGCGUGAAGUCGGAAUCGCUAGUAAUCGCGGAUCAGAAUGUCGCGGUGAAUACGUUCCCGGGUCUUGUACACACCGCCCGUCACACCAUGGGAGUGGGUUUCACCAGAAGUAGGUAGCCUAACCGUAAGGAGGGCG